Leptinotarsa decemlineata (Colorado potato beetle) is the source of this 503-nucleotide long non-coding RNA. RefSeq lists it as uncharacterized. NCBI's taxonomy places the organism in Eukaryota, Metazoa, Arthropoda, Insecta, Coleoptera, Chrysomelidae. The record is from RefSeq and is a predicted model, not a curated record.
UGAAUUCCGAAACAUCUGCCAAAUUCAUUACGUCUGAUACAUUCAAAAUAGAUUCAAUGUACAACCGUAGUCGUUUGUUGAUUUCAUCAAACAAAACAUCCAUUUUUAAAUAUUAUCAAAUGGCUAAAGGUAAAGGAGGAAAGGGUGGCGGAGCUCCAACAGCACCAGCUGGAGAUAAAAAACCCACCAAUAGUAACACGAAGGGCUCGGGUGGUGAUCAGAAGCAGGGAGUAAAGGAAACUACUACCAAAGGGGGCAAAAAAGGAGGGAAAAAAUGACAUUCGAAAAUGGAAUCUGGGGCACUAUCUAGACUCACUGAUGAAGUAACUGUUAGUAAAGUAAUUUUAUAAUGUUACGUAGGCACUGCAUAUUUCUUGAAAAACAAACGUUUGUAUUGGUAUUAUGGGAUUUUGAAAGGAUUUUGUAAUAUCAUAGGCAAUAUUUUAAAAAUGUUCCAUAUUGUGAAAGCGAUUGAUAAAAUGAGUAAAAAAAAUUGAACGCUU